UACGGAGGAUCCUAGCGUUAUCCGGAAUUAUUGGGUUUAAAGGGUCCGUAGGCGGCUUGAUAAGUCAGCGGUGAAAGUUUUUGGCUUAACCAAAAAAUUGCCGUUGAUACUGUUUAGCUUGAAUAAUUGUGAAGUAACUAGAAUAUGUAGUGUAGCGGUGAAAUGCUUAGAUAUUACAUGGAAUACCAAUUGCGCAGGCAGGUUACUAAUAAUUUAUUGACGCUGAUGGACGAAAGCGUGGGUAGCGAACGGG
This 253-nucleotide ribosomal RNA is filed under the name uncultured bacterium. RNAcentral's name for it is "partial 16S ribosomal RNA". It matches the Rfam family "Bacterial small subunit ribosomal RNA", at positions 524 to 776 of the family's 1533-position model. The record is from RNAcentral.